RNA transcript from Carcharodon carcharias (great white shark), 2883 nucleotides. It is a transcript of the gene named tudor domain containing 3, with no coding region annotated. The transcript has 16 exons. NCBI's taxonomy places the organism in Eukaryota, Metazoa, Chordata, Chondrichthyes, Lamniformes, Lamnidae. The record is from RefSeq and is a predicted model, not a curated record.
GCCGUUGGCGCCUGCGUGUUGUGACGGGGCUGCCAGGAGCGCGGCCGGACGCUGAGGCCUGAUCGUGGAGUGGCCGAGGCGUGCAGCUAUUAAUAUGAGGUUCGCCUGUUUCUUACUUGGGAGCUGUCGUCGUGAUUCGCAGCCUGAUUUCAUUUCGUGUGUCGGCCGCGUUGCGUUCGCUGGAAGGGUGGCCGAGUGAAGAUGGCGGACACGGGCCUGGCUCUGGCCCAGGAAGGCUGGUAUCUUUCUCCAGAAGGAAUUGAAGCUUGCACUGCUUCUUCCAUUAAAGUUGAUAUAAAGGAUAUCAUCCGUAAUGCCCUGAAUAGUGACUUAAGAGCCAUUGGCAAGAAAUUUCUUCCAAAUGAAAUCAAUAGUGGACGCGUGGACCAGCUUGAAGGUCCAUGUGUCUUACAACUACAAAAGAUCAGGAAUAUAUCUGCUCCAAAAGAUCACGAGGAGUCUCAAGCUGCACCAAGGAUGUUGCGUGUGCAAUUGACAGAUGGGAAUGUGAAUUGCAUAGGAAUAGAGUUUAGUCAUCUGUCUAAAAUCAGCCUCAACACCCCGCCUGGCACAAAAGUAAGAUUAUUUGGAACUGUUAAAAUAAGGAAUGGAUUUCUGUUGUUGAACGAUACCAACAUUUUUGUCCUUGGUGGUGAAGUGGAUCAACUAAUUGAGAAGUGGGAGUUGCAAAGGAGUUUGGCAAAAUAUAAUAGAAAUAAUAUUGGAGCUGAAGGUGGACCACCUCCUUUUGUCCCUUUUGGGCAGAAAUGUUUAACUCGUGACCAAGUUGAUAGUCGAGACCUUGAUAAGAGGAAAACCCUGCAGGUUGCUAGCACAAAUAAAACUGGGGGCGAUGAUGAAUUUGAAAAGCAAAGGACUGCUGCUAUUGCAGAAAUUAGCAAGAACAAGGAGGCAAAGAUCUUUGGUGGAGGAAGCAAUGUCCGGAGCAAUUUGAAUUCAAGUGGUACAGGCAAUAGGAGCAGGGAUGCAUUCCAGAAGAACAGAGAAGAGAAGUGUGUAAGGGCAGAUGGGAAACCUGAAGGAGUGUAUCGAGAAUUGGUUGAUGAGCGAGCUUUACAGCACAUAACUGAAAUGGGUUUCAGCAAGGAGGAAGCACGACAGGCCCUAAUGGAUCACAGCAAUAAUUUGGAAAAUGCAUUAAAUUUUCUUAUCAACAGUGUCAAAACACCACCAGCUAUGCAUAAUGUACCUGCAAGAGGAAAGGGAAGAGGCCGAGGCAGAUCAAGACCUGAAGAAGAUGAUGGUGUAGCAAAUGCGAGACCAUCUGCACCCAGCACAUUAUUUGACUUCUUAGAAUCAAAGAUGAGCUCCUUGAGUGUUGAAGAGUCAAAAAUGCAACUUCCACAUCACUCGAGUUCGGAUAAAGGUAUUGCUAUGAAGGGCUUUCAGCAGAAGAAUGCCCCUUGGAAUAAUGAUCGACCACAAAAACAUGACAGACCACCUCGCUUCCAAAGGGAGAAUCUAAUUGCCAGACAAGCUUUGGACAACUAUGGUCCACAGCGGGGCAGGGGCCCUCAAAGGCAGAACUUCACUGGAUCCAGCCAGUGGAUGGAUGAUGGGAGAAGAGGUGGCAAGCAUUACGCUGGGAAUGAAAGGCUCAGAGACCAUGAGCAACAAAUAACUCAUUUGGGUAAUGAGUCAACUAGAAAAAUGAAAGGAGAGAGCCAAACAAAUAAAUUGGGAGAUGGUCCAGGUUCAAUGGAAUUUAAAGGCAGCCAGAGUAAAAAAGAUCAGCUGGAUAACGGCAGUCAACAGAGAGCAAGAUUUGAAAACCAGAGACAUAAUUAUAGUACUUUUAAUGAACGGAAAGGUAUGGAACUAUCGCCAGUAAUAGGUAGUGGAAUCUCUGGAAAUGUGAAAAACGCAAGGGACUUCAGUCUACAUAUUGACAACACCUGUGCACGAAUUGUUGAUGCAUGUAACAUUACUAAUGGACAAGUAGAAGACCCGUUUUUGAGAAAGAGAACAGGACCUAUAAAAUCAACAGAACCUAGCCAGUCAAAGCUUACUGAAUAUUCUCAGAGCAAUAAUGGAAAUUAUGAUUCAGGGUCAAAGAAAAGAACCGGACCAAUUAAACCAGAAAGAACAUGGGCAAAAUCUUAUGAGACUGAUUACCAUUCUUCAGCAGUGUCAAAUAAAUCACAGUUUAGUGAUUGGAGACCAGGGGAUCAGUGCUUAGCUCUUUAUUGGGAAGAUAACAAGUUUUAUCGGGCAGUCAUCAAGGCACUUCACCCUUCAGGAGUGACGGCAGUUGUUGUAUUCAGAGGCUACGGCAACUAUGAGGAAGUACUUCUAAGUAAUAUUAAACCACUCCAGGAGGAAUUCUGGGUUUGUGUGACGGCAAGAGCUUUUCCAAAUCACUUUGACACUUGUUUGGAAGGCAGAGGAGGAAGAAUCGUUUGAGGGUACGUUAGAAUUUUGUCGAGGUGGGGAUGGACAGCCAAGGCGCUCAACAAGACCUACCCAACGGUAUUAUCAACCGCCUGGAGCAAGAAAGUGAUGCAGUUUGUAGCAAGAACAUUUCACCAAAUACUUCGAGAAGCUACAAGUAUAUGGCUGCAUCGACUGACUGCUUCAGGGUCCUUCCUGAGGGGUAACCUGUGGAAUGUUGCACAGACAGUACAAAUCUCCUUGAAUGUGGAUCUUUCAGUCUGGAAGAAACUCUGCCAAGUCAUGGGUACUUACAGAAGCAGAGCUUGUUCCCAGCUGUAUGUUUUACAAAUUUUGAAGAUGUGGCAAUGUGCAAAGAAAAAUACUGGACCCUCAAUGAUGGAUUUUAGUUUCACAGUGUACAGCAUAAAGAACUUGUAGAUGGAAUAAUAACUUUUUAAAUCCUGUUAAUAAAAAUUACAGUGCACUGUG